GAUGAACGCUAGCGGCAGGCCUAACACAUGCAAGUCGAGGGGUAACAUAGAAAAGCUUGCUUUUCUGAUGACGACCGGCGCACGGGUGCGUAACGCGUAUACAACCUACCUUUUAGCGGGGAAUAGCCCAGGGAAACUUGGAUUAAUGCCUCAUAGUAUAUAAGCUUCUCCUGAAGUUUAUAUUAAACAUUUAUGGCUGUUAGAUGGGUAUGCGUCCUAUUAGUUAGUUGGUAAGGUAACGGCUUACCAAGGCAGCGAUAGGUAGGGGUCCUGAGAGGGAGAUCCCCACACUGGUACUGAGACACGGACCAGACUCCUACGGGAGGCAGCAGUGAGGAAUAUUGGACAAUGGGCGAGAGCCUGAUCCAGCCAUGCCGCGUGCAGGAAGACUGCCCUAUGGGUUGUAAACUGCUUUUACAGAGGAAGAACCACCCCCACGUGUGGGGGUUUGACGGUACUCUGCGAAUAAGGAUCGGCUAACUCCGUG
This 487-nucleotide ribosomal RNA is filed under the name uncultured bacterium. Its description in RNAcentral is "bacterial SSU rRNA". It matches the Rfam family "Bacterial small subunit ribosomal RNA", at positions 28 to 507 of the family's 1533-position model. The record is from RNAcentral.